RNAcentral lists this ribosomal RNA (253 nucleotides) under uncultured bacterium. RNAcentral describes it as "partial 16S ribosomal RNA". It matches the Rfam family "Bacterial small subunit ribosomal RNA", at positions 524 to 776 of the family's 1533-position model. The record is from RNAcentral.
UACGGAAGGUCCAGGCGUUAUCCGGAUUUAUUGGGUUUAAAGGGAGCGUAGGCCGGAGAUUAAGUGUGUUGUGAAAUGUAGACGCUCAACGUCUGACUUGCAGCGCAUACUGGUUUCCUUGAGUACGCACAACGUUGGCGGAAUUCGUCGUGUAGCGGUGAAAUGCUUAGAUAUGACGAAGAACUCCGAUUGCGAAGGCAGCUGACGGGAGCGCAACUGACGCUUAAGCUCGAAGGUGCGGGUAUCAAACAGG